Molecule: ribosomal RNA, 254 nt
Filed under: uncultured bacterium
Lineage: Bacteria
Description: partial 16S ribosomal RNA
Rfam family: Bacterial small subunit ribosomal RNA
Source: RNAcentral
GACGUAGGGGGCGAGCGUUGUCCGGAUUCAUUGGGCGUAAAGAGCUCGUAGGCGGUUCGGCAAGUCGGGUGUGAAAACUCCAGGCUCAACCUGGAGACGCCACCCGAUACUGCUGUGACUCGAGUCCGGUAGGGGACCACGGAAUUCCUGGUGUAGCGGUGAAAUGCGCAGAUAUCAGGAGGAACACCGGUGGCGAAGGCGGUGGUCUGGGCCGGUACUGACGCUGAGGAGCGAAAGCGUGGGGAGCGAACAGG